This 2527-nucleotide ribosomal RNA is filed under the name Cyanobacteria bacterium MAG CAR1_bin_15. Its description in RNAcentral is "partial 23S ribosomal RNA". It matches the Rfam family "Bacterial large subunit ribosomal RNA", at positions 1 to 2615 of the family's 2925-position model. The record is from RNAcentral. Lineage: Bacteria; Bacillati; Cyanobacteriota.
UGUCAAGCUACAAAGGGCUCACGGUGAAUACCUUGGCACGUAGAGGCGAUGAAGGACGUGACUACCUGCGAUAAGUCUCGGGGAGCGGGAAGUAAGCUUUGAUCCGGGAAUUUCCGAAUGGGGCAACCCUGGGGUAACCCAACGGCUAGCUAAAUCCAUAGGCUAGUUCGAGUCAACCCAGCAAACUGAAACAUCUUAGUAGCUGGAGGAAAAGAAAGUAAAAACGACUCCCUUAGUAGCGGCGAGCGAAGCGGGAUCAGCCUAAACCAAUCAUUUCGAUGAUUGGGGUUGUGGGACAGCAACGUGGACCAGGAAUUCUAGAAGAAGCGUUUGAAUGACGCACCAUAGAGGGUGAUAGUCCCGUACUCGAAAGAUGAACUGGCCUAGCUGUAUCCCGAGUAGCACGGAGCACGUGAAAUUCCGUGUGAAUCUGCGAGGACCACCUCGUAAGGCUAAGUACUACUGCGUGACCGAUAGCGUACAGUACCGCGAGGGAAAGGUGAAAAGAACCCCAGGAGGGGAGUGAAACAGAACAUGAAACCGUGAGCCUACAAGCAAUGGGAGCCCGACUAAUCGGGUGACCGUGUGCCUGUUGAAGAAUGAGCCGGCGACUUAUAGGCACUGGCAGGUUAAGAGGAUAAUCUCGGAGCCACAGCGAAAGCGAGUCUGAAUAGGGCGAUAGUCAGUGUUUAUAGACCCGAACCCGGGUGAUCUAACCAUGGACAGGAUGAAGCUUGGGUGACACCAAGUGAAGGUCCGAACCGACUGAUGUUGAAAAAUCAGCGGAUGAGCUGUGGUUAGGGGUGAAAUGCCAAUCGAACCCGGAGCUAGCUGGUUCUCCCCGAAAUACAUUGAGGUGUAGCGUCUAGUGCUUAAGCAGAGGGGUAAAGCCACCGUUUCGGUGCGGGCUGCGAGAGCGGUACCAAAUCGAGACGAACUCUGAAUACUCUGUGUGUAACUAGGCAGUCAGACUGUGAGGGAUAAGCUUCAUGGUCAAGAGGGAAACAGCCCAGACCGCCAGCUAAGGUCCUUGAGUCACUACUAAGUGGUAAAGGAGGUAAGAUUGCAUAGACAACCAGGAGGUUUGCCUGGAAGCAGCCAUCCUCGAAGGAGUGCGUAAUAGCUCACUGGUCGAGCGAUCUUGCGCCGAAAAUGAACGGGACUAAGUAGUGUACCGAAGCUGCGGAUUCUUUGAAUGGUAGGGGAGCGUUCUAUGUGGAUUGAAGCGUUAGCGAAAGCGGACGUGGACUGCAUAGAAGUGAGAAUGUCGGCUUGAGUAGCGAAAACAUAGGUGAGAAUCCUAUGCCCCGAAACCCUAAGGGUUCCUCUGUCAAGCUCGUCUGCAGAGGGUUAGUCAGGACCUAAGGCGAGGCCGAAAGGCGUAGUCGAUGGAUAACAGGUCAACAUUCCUGUACUGGUUGCUGUUUGGGCAGGUGGACGGAGAAGGCUAAGCGAUCCGGAUGUUGGUUACCGGUUCAAACGUUCAAGGCUUUGAAGAGCGGUGAAAACGCUCUGAGCUAAGGCGUGAGUACGAGUUCUUACGAGAGCGAAGUCGCUGAUGUCAUGCUUCCUAGAAAAGACCUUAGUCCGUUAAGCAGCAGCUACCUGUACCCGAAACCGACACAGGUAGGGUAGUAGAGUAUACUAAGGGGCGCGAGUUAACUCUCUCUAAGGAACUCGGCAAAAUGGCCCCGUAACUUCGGGAGAAGGGGUGCCACCGUCAGGUGGCCGCAGUGAAGAGUCCCAGGCGACUGUUUACCAAAAACACAGGUCUCCGCUAAGUCGCAAGACAACGUAUGGGGGCUGACGCCUGCCCAGUGCCGGAAGGUUAAGGAAGCUGGUUAGCUUUGCGAAGCUAGCGACCGUAACUAUAACGGUCCUAAGGUAGCGAAAUUCCUUGUCGGGUAAGUUCCGACCCGCACGAAAGGCGUAACGAUCUGGGAGCUGUCUCGGAGAGAGGCUCGGCGAAAUAGAAUUGUCUGUGAAGAUGCGGACUACGUACACCCGGACAGAAAGACCCUAUGAAGCUUUACUGUAGCUAGGUAUUGUGCUCGGGCCUUGAAUGCGCAGGAUAGGUGGGAGGCUUUGAUCUAUUCCUUGUGGGGGAUAGUGAGCCAUUGGUGAGAUACCACUCUUUCAGGGCUAGAGUUCUAACUGUUGCCCGUCAUCCGGGAACAGGACAUUAUCUGGUGGGCAGUUUGACUGGGGCGGUCGCCUCCUAAAAGGUAACGGAGGCGCGCAAAGGUUCCCUCAAGCUGGUUGGAAAUCAGUUGACGAGUGCAAAGGCAAAAGGGAGCUUGACUGUGAGACCUACAAGUCGAACAGGGACGAAAGUCGGCCUUAGUGAUCCGACGGUUCUGUGUGGAAGGGCCGUCGCUCAACGGAUAAAAGUUACUCUCUCCCCCAAGAGUUCACAUCGACGGGGAGGUUUGGCACCUCGAUGUCGGCUCAUCGCAACCUGGGGCUGAAGCCGGUCCCAAGGGUUGGGCUGUUCGCCCAUUAAAGCGGUACGCGAGCUGGGUUCAGA